GACGAACGCUGGCGGCGUGCCUAAUACAUGCAAGUCGAACGAAACUUUCUUACACCGAAUGCUUGCAUUCACCGUAAGAAGUUGAGUGGCGGACGGGUGAGUAACACGUGGGUAACCUGCCUAAAAGAAGGGGAUAACACUUGGAAACAGGUGCUAAUACCGUAUAUCUCUAAGGAUCGCAUGAUCCUUAGAUGAAAGAUGGUUCUGCUAUCGCUUUUAGAUGGACCCGCGGCGUAUUAACUAGUUGGUGGGGUAACGGCCUACCAAGGUGAUGAUACGUAGCCGAACUGAGAGGUUGAUCGGCCACAUUGGGACUGAGACACGGCCCAAACUCCUACGGGAGGCAGCAGUAGGGAAUCUUCCACAAUGGACGCAAGUCUGAUGGAGCAACGCCGCGUGAGCGAAGAAGGUCUUCGGAUCGUAAAACUCUGUUGUUAGAGAAGAACACGAGUGAGAGUAACUGUUCAUUCGAUGACGGUAUCUAACCAGCAAGUCACGGCUAACUACGUGCCAGCAGCCGCGGUAAUACGUAGGUGGCAAGCGUUGUCCGGAUUUAUUGGGCGUAAAGGGAACGCAGGCGGUCUUUUAAGUCUGAUGUGAAAGCCUUCGGCUUAACCGGAGUAGUGCAUUGGAAACUGGAAGACUUGAGUGCAGAAGAGGAGAGUGGAACUCCAUGUGUAGCGGUGAAAUGCGUAGAUAUAUGGAAGAACACCAGUGGCGAAAGCGGCUCUCCGGUCUGCAACUGACGCUGAGGUUCGAAAGCGUGGGUAGCAAACAGGAUUAGAUACCCUGGUAGUCCACGCCGUAAACGAUGAAUGCUAGGUGUUGGAGGGUUUCCGCCCUUCAGUGCCGCAGCUAACGCAAUAAGCAUUCCGCCUGGGGAGUACGACCGCAAGGUUGAAACUCAAAGGAAUUGACGGGGGCCCGCACAAGCGGUGGAGCAUGUGGUUUAAUUCGAAGCAACGCGAAGAACCUUACCAGGUCUUGACAUCUAGUGCCAUUUGUAGAGAUACAAAGUUCCCUUCGGGGACGCUAAGACAGGUGGUGCAUGGCUGUCGUCAGCUCGUGUCGUGAGAUGUUGGGUUAAGUCCCGCAACGAGCGCAACCCUUGUUAUUAGUUGCCAGCAUUAAGUUGGGCACUCUAAUGAGACUGCCGGUGACAAACCGGAGGAAGGUGGGGAUGACGUCAAGUCAUCAUGCCCCUUAUGACCUGGGCUACACACGUGCUACAAUGGGCAGUACAACGAGAAGCGAGCCUGCGAAGGCAAGCGAAUCUCUGAAAGCUGUUCUCAGUUCGGACUGCAGUCUGCAACUCGACUGCACGAAGCUGGAAUCGCUAGUAAUCGCGGAUCAGCACGCCGCGGUGAAUACGUUCCCGGGCCUUGUACACACCGCCCGUCACACCAUGGGAGUCUGCAAUGCCCAAAGCCGGUGGCCUAACCUUCGGGAAGGAGCCGUCUAAGGCAGGGCAGA
This 1473-nucleotide ribosomal RNA is filed under the name uncultured bacterium. RNAcentral's name for it is "bacterial SSU rRNA". It matches the Rfam family "Bacterial small subunit ribosomal RNA". The record is from RNAcentral.